ACGGGGCUGCGGGGUGCGUUCAGGCACGCGUAUUCCCCGGGGCGAUAAUAACUCCUAGGGGACUGUCCCUAUCGGCACCCAGGUGUCGACAUAUGGUUCCCACCUGCUGUUAGCGGGCCACGGAGGAAAGCAACGCCGACGGCCACUGCGGCUCCGUC
This 158-nucleotide non-coding RNA is filed under the name Rhodospirillales bacterium. RNAcentral describes it as "6S RNA". It matches the Rfam family "6S / SsrS RNA". From Rfam's summary of the family: E. coli 6S RNA was the first non coding RNA to be sequenced, but its function was unknown until recently. It consists of 184 nucleotides that fold into an extended hairpin structure with a large single-stranded internal bulge. The record is from RNAcentral. Lineage: Bacteria; Pseudomonadati; Pseudomonadota; Alphaproteobacteria; Rhodospirillales.